AACUUUUAACAACGGAUCACUUGGCUCUCGCAUCGAUGAAGAACACAGCGAAAUGUGAUAAGUAAUGUGAAUUGCUGAAUUCAGUGAAUCAUCGAAUCUUUGAACGCAUCUUGCGCUCCUUGGUAUUCUGAGGAGCAUGCCUGUUUGAGUGUCAUUAAAUUCUCAACCACACUAAUUUUUAUUGGUGUGGCUUGGAUUAUGGGGUUUCUGCAGGCUUUAAAACCAGCUUCCCUGAAAUGCAUUAGUGGUAUCUGAGCAGACUACAGGUGUGAUAACUAUCUAUGCCUUUGCUGAAAACAGAUUACACUGCUUCAAACAACAAACUAUUGUUUUUGUUUGACCUCAAAUCAGGUAGGACUACCCGCUGAACUUAAGCAUAUCAAUAAGCGGAGGCU
Molecule: unclassified non-coding RNA, 395 nt
Filed under: uncultured Inocybe
Lineage: Eukaryota; Fungi; Basidiomycota; Agaricomycetes; Agaricales; Cortinariaceae
Description: sequence contains ITS2
Rfam family: 5.8S ribosomal RNA (bases 1-154)
Source: RNAcentral